RNAcentral lists this ribosomal RNA (99 nucleotides) under uncultured bacterium. RNAcentral's name for it is "partial 16S ribosomal RNA". It matches the Rfam family "Bacterial small subunit ribosomal RNA", at positions 1384 to 1482 of the family's 1533-position model. The record is from RNAcentral.
UACACACCGCCCGUCACGCCAUGGAAGCUGGGGGGACCCGAAGCCGGUGUGCUAACCGCAAGGAGGCAGCCGUCUAAGGUCAACUCAGUGACUGGGGCG